UACAAAGUUCAAAAGUGAGGGCAUGC
This 26-nucleotide non-coding RNA is filed under the name Homo sapiens (human). Lineage: Eukaryota; Metazoa; Chordata; Mammalia; Primates; Hominidae. The record is from RNAcentral.